GAUGAACGCUGGCGGCACGCUUAACACAUGCAAGUCGAACGGAGUGGCGAACGGCUGAGUAACACGUGGGCAACCUGCCCUUCAGUUCGGAAUAGCUACGGGAAACCGUGGGUAAUACCGGAUGCUGAAGGAGGGGCCCGCGGCCUGUUAGCUUGUUGGUGAGGUAACGGCUCACCAAGGCAGUAAUGGGUAGCCGGGUUGGGAGACCGACCGGCCAGAUUGGGACGGAGAGACGGUCCAGACUCCUACGGGAGGCAGAAGUGGGGAAGCUUGCGCAAUGGGAGAAAGCCUGUCGCAGCGAUGCCGCGGGCGGGAUGAAGGCCUUCGGGUCGUAGACCGCUUUCAGCAGGGACGCGGUACCUGCAGAAGAAGCCCCGGCGAACUACGUGCCAGCAGCCGCGGUAAUAC
This 408-nucleotide ribosomal RNA is filed under the name uncultured bacterium. RNAcentral describes it as "partial 16S ribosomal RNA". It matches the Rfam family "Bacterial small subunit ribosomal RNA", at positions 28 to 526 of the family's 1533-position model. The record is from RNAcentral.